RNAcentral lists this non-coding RNA (148 nucleotides) under Homo sapiens (human). Lineage: Eukaryota; Metazoa; Chordata; Mammalia; Primates; Hominidae. The record is from Rfam by way of RNAcentral.
GCUGGGUGUGGUGGCACAUGCCUGUAAUCCCAGCUACUUGGGAGGCUGAGACAGAAGAAUCGCUUGAACCUGGGAGGUGGAGGUUGCAGUGAGCCGAGAUUGCCCCACUGCACUCCAGCCUAGGUGACAGAGCGAGACUCUGUCUCAA